CAGCCAGCCAGCCAGCCAGCCAGCCUCGUAGGUUACUUGGAUUCUCUAAAAUAGCUAAAAUACAGUUGUUGAGAGUGUUUCUCAACCAGCGUUUAACAGCAGCUGCAGAGGAGAUAUUUGGGGCUGUUGCGAAAACGAUAGCAGAGUACCAGGAAGAAGUUUAUCGUUCAAAAGAGGAGAACGGCCGUCUACAGAGGCAGCUUGGUAUCGUUCUCAAACCACCAGAGAUACAAUUACAUAGGACAGACCUCCAUCAGCUCUCUCUCACUGUCUUCGAAGAGGAGGUUCCCCCUGAGCAGCAACACUGUGAGCAGGAGUGGAGCCCCAGUCUGGGGCAAGAAGACCCAGAGCCCAAAUAGAUUAAAGAGCAACAACAGGAGCAACACAGGACCAGUCAGGAGGAAGAGUUUCAUAAUGACUUCUUCAUAAUUAGGUCAAAUGACUGUGUGAAAAGUGACUACGAUCAGGAAGAGGACUCAUGUCAGCCCUCACAUCUUUACCAAACCCAAAGUGAGGAAUAUGAACAGGGAGCCUCUCUACCUAGCACCUAAUUGGAACAGAUCAAAGCUGAACCUGAUGUAGAGGGCUACAUAGUAUUAGAACUAAGGAGUGACUCUCAGCCCCUCUCUGCAGUAAAUCCAGACUGUUCUCCAACCCCAAGUGAAUACAGGGAAGGUGUCAAUGAAGAGGAAAAAUAACCUUGGAUUAGGUUUAAAGCACUCAAAUCAAAGAAAGCACAGAAAAUAACAAGCCAAAGCUCCGGUAUCUGGAAAAAAGGAAGGAAAUCCACAGUCAUCCCAUCUGAACCCACACAGUCAAAGCCUUACUACUCCCUGUUGGUGUGGUGUGUGUGGAAAUAAAUGUUACUCUGUGAGUUUUUAAAUAAAACAUACACAAGAACACACAGAGGAUAUAGACCUAGAUUGCCUUUGCGGUGUCUGUGGAAAACACUUUGAGUCCAAAGAAAUUCUGAUAGACCAUCUCCAAACUCACAUGAAAAAUAUUUUUUGUCACUUAUGUGGUCAAUGUUUCAACUGGACUAGUAAUCUGAAAAGACAUAUGAUGAUUCACACAGGGGAAAGACCCCAUCGGUGCAGUGACUGUGGCAAAGGCUCCAGGUCGAGUGAUUGUCUGACAAAGCAUAUGAGGAUUCACACAGGGGACAAACUAUUUACUUGCCCUGUUUGCCACCGUGGUUUUAACAGACGAGAUAACCUGAAAGUGCAUAUGAGAGUUCACACAUGGGAGAGACCGUAUAUGUGUUCUGAAUGCUACAAAUGUUUUGCCACGUUAACUUCCCUGAAUAAGCACCAGACAAUGCACAAUGAGGAACGACCAUAUGUGUGCACUGAUUGCGGUAUGCGCUUCAAAGCGCUUGAAUCCCAAAGAAGGCACAUGAAGAGUGUUCACAACAAGAAGGAGAAUACAACAUGACAGUGCCUUGUAUGGGUUACGGUAACAGAUAGUAGAUGGAGGCACAUUCUAACCAAAUUGUAACUGCCAUUGGACAGGAGAACAGCCCUUCAGGACAGAUGCAUUGCAUUAUGGAAUAAGCGCAGUAGUUACCGUUACUUGUUAGUUACCAUUAGCCGUUAGUUCGUUUACCAACCGCAAAUAGCAGACAUCAGAGGUAAUUUAUGUGCCUGUGUUUUAUAAAGCAGCAGAUUCUGUAACUUGUUGACAGCCGAGCUUACUAAAUCCACCGUGGGACGCAUUUAAUUGACUGGCAGACUGGAUCCGGCCUAACCCAAAUCCAGGCCUGUGCAAACCCGACCACAGAACUGAUCUGUAUAGAUUAGAUCUAAUGUUGACCUGUUAUGAUUGGAAUGAAAAUAAUCUUCUCAACAAUAAAGUUUGCAUUUUUGUUCUCAA
Long non-coding RNA from Coregonus clupeaformis (lake whitefish), 1872 nucleotides. RefSeq lists it as uncharacterized. NCBI's taxonomy places the organism in Eukaryota, Metazoa, Chordata, Actinopteri, Salmoniformes, Salmonidae. The record is from RefSeq and is a predicted model, not a curated record. The transcript has 2 exons.